AGGACGAACGCUGGCGGCGUGCCUAAUACAUGCAAGUCGAACGGUCUUUUCUAUGGAAGCUUGCUUCCACUGAGAAGAUAGUGGCGAACGGGUGAGUAACACGUGGGUAACCUGCCCAUAAGAGGGGGGAUAACAUCCGGAAACGGGUGCUAAUACCGCAUAGUUUUCUUGAUCGCAUGAUCGGGAAAGGAAAGACGGCCUUUGUGCUGUCGCUUAUGGAUGGACCCGCGGCGUAUUAGUUAGUUGGUGAGGUAACGGCUCACCAAGACGAUGAUACGUAGCCGACCUGAGAGGGUGAUCGGCCACAUUGGGACUGAGACGCGGCCCAAACUCCUACGGGAGGCAGCAGUAGGGAAUCUUCCGCAAUGGACGAAAGUCUGACGGAGCAACGCCGCGUGAGUGAAGAAAGGUUUUCGGAUCGUAAAACUCUGUUGUCAGAGAAGAACAAGUUGGAGAGUAACUGCUCCAGCCUUGACGGUAUCUGACCAGAAAGCCACGGCUAACUACGUGCCAGCAGCCGC
RNAcentral lists this ribosomal RNA (521 nucleotides) under uncultured bacterium. RNAcentral describes it as "bacterial SSU rRNA". It matches the Rfam family "Bacterial small subunit ribosomal RNA", at positions 26 to 518 of the family's 1533-position model. The record is from RNAcentral.